This 3773-nucleotide long non-coding RNA is filed under the name Nicotiana tabacum (common tobacco). RNAcentral describes it as "long non-coding RNA (NTAB_LNC016294)". Lineage: Eukaryota; Viridiplantae; Streptophyta; Magnoliopsida; Solanales; Solanaceae. The record is from RNAcentral.
UACAGAAAACUUCUAACGGAAAUAUAAAAUGCACCAUCUCUUUUUUUGGAAUUUUGAUUUAUAACACACUUUUUUAGAUGCAAAAUAGAAAAUACAAUAGUAAAUAAAAAAUCUCGACAUUACUUUACAAAAUUAGAAAGUAAAAGACGACAUAAAAAAUAAUAAUCUCCUUAAGCAACUCCUAAAUGAGCGAUCCAGACUGGAUGGUCCUGGGGUGUCUAUCAUGCUCAAACUCCGGUAAGUAGACCCACACCUGUAUGAAAAAAUUCAAACCAAUAAGUUAAAGACCUAAAACGUUAUGUGAGACAAUAACCCUUCUUGUUGGACACAUGACAUGAUUGAGGCUAUUUUUGCAAAAUGGCUUAUUUGGCCAAAAGGUUGUUAGAAGUGCAAAAUUCGGCUCGAAAGACGAGAAUCAUAGACCGGACCCUAUGUGGGUUGCCUACGUAUCACGCCUCGAAAGAAGAGAAUCAGAUAUGCGUAGUUCAGGCAGAUUGGAUACGGGCGAGAAUUAAAAAAACAACUAAUUUAAAGAAAAUAUAUUUUUUGUCUUUUUGAAAAAUGAUGCAACAUGUAGACUUUUUUUGGAUUUUCUUUUCCCUUUUUUAUUUUUUUGAUUUUUAGAAAAUGAUGAAAAAGUGCAAAAUCUUUUUUUUUUUGAAUUUUUCAUUUUUUUGUCUUUUUCUUGAUAAAAAUGUGAUAGAAAACAUAAUCGAGCCUUACUUGCUUUAUUUUUCACACUUCAUCCUUUUUCUCUUUUUCUUUUCUUUUUCAUUUUCCCUCAACUAUCAUUGGUCCGCCAAAUGAUCCUUUUACCCUUGAAAAUUUGAAGCAUGUAGCACAUAGGAUGCAUCAGGAUGGUCUUUUAUAUUUUUAGGUACACCUAUCCUAGAUGGACACAACCCCUGUGUUGAGUCCCCAAAGUCAAAUGCACGUGAUGCAAACAAACGUUCUUACUAGGGAUCCGACAUGGGGCUGAGUUAUUCUAAGUUCAAAACCUGGGUAUGUUGUUCUAGACUUGUGCACACGAGCGAAAAACUCGAGCCGGGGGGGGGGNNNNNNNNNNNNNNNNNNNNNNNNNGGCCAUCCGUCUUUGUAACUUGUUCGAUCCUCUUCCUAGUUUAAGGUAUGAAACUAACAGAAGAGGAGUCAUGCCAGCGUGCACAUCCCCGAAGAUGAGAAGAGAAGGGUUUCGUAGCAGUUUAUAUACAGUUCAGAUAAUAUCAAAGCGGUAAAAAACAACAUUUAGCACAUUAGGCCCAAACAUGUAGUUAAAACCAGAUAAUAAAUAAAAGACAAAUAUAACAAUUAUUCUAAGCUCGAAUUCUUGAACCUUGAACCAGAGAUUCUAGGUUCUAGUCCCCAGCAGAGUCGCUAGAGCUGUCACACCUCCUUUUUCCUAACCCGAAAGGGGGUAUAAGGAGUUUUUUCCAAUUAAAGUGACAAUCGAAACAUGAUUAAUUUAUUUAGUCAGAGUCACCACUUGGGAUAAUUUAUGGUGUCCCAUGUCACCGGUUUAGAAUCCCGAAUCGAGGAAAGAUUGACUCUGUUCUAUAGUCCACGAACACAGAAAUCCGGGUAAAGAAUUUUGUUAACCCGGAAGAAGGUGUUAGGCAUUCUCGGAUUUCGUGAUUUUAGCACGGUCGCUCAACUAUUAUUAUUGGCCUAUUAUCUGAUUUUAAAACAUCUUUGAAUCCUAUGUGCAUUUUAUUCCUUUUAAACUGCUUUUAAUAAAUUAGUGUUGCAUAUUGCGGAUCAUUUCACGGGAACCGUACCCACGAUCUACAACAUAUUUAUUUUAUUAACAAAAUUAAAUUGUGGCCAGGUCACAUAAAUGUACCACCGGAUUUUAGAAAUUAAGCAUCACAACUACGUCACGAGAACCGUACCCGUAGCCAUGACAAUUAUUUAAUUAACGCGCCUAAAGCAAACUACGAAAGUUCAAGGCAUUUUUGUUUACUAAUUUUGUAUUUAUGUGAGGGCCAUAUGUUAUGGACUUUACUUGCGUAUGGCACACCUCAAUUUAUUUUAAAGGAAAAGAUUUGCAUUUUGCUAAGGCAAACCAAAAAUACUCCUACUUAUAUCUAAUUUAAAAACCAAAUAUCACAACUACGUCACGGGAACCGUAGUCGUAGUCGUAAUAGUUUAAUUACAUAUAUAAAGCAAACUACGAGAUUCAUUUUAGUAGCUAAGUUAUAAAAUAUGAAGGCCAUAGAUUAUAUGACUCAAAUGUAUGAAUGGCACGCCUCAAAACUAUUCAACUAAAUGAACUAGGAUAUUCAUAUUUGGAGCUAAUACGAAAUUAAUCACUGCAACUACGUCACGGGAACCGUACCCAUAGUCGUAAUAUUUUAAUUACGGGCCUAAAGUAAGCUACGAAUGUUUAUAAUUACAAUAAAAUAAUUAAUGAAAAUAACAAUCAAGGCUCAUUCAUUCAUGAGAAUUAACAGUUUCAUAAUUCAUUCACCACUUAGAUUCACGCUUCAUCAUCCAAUCACAGAAGUUUGGAGAUUAUGUCAUCAAAGCAUGCUAAAGGAGGAGCCCGAAAUAGAGAGUUGGAAAAUGGAAGAAAAUAUGUCAAAAAGAAUUUUUUGCAACUAAAGAAUUUCAGUUAUUACCAUUCUAGUACAUAGAAAUAUAUAUUAACAAGCAUACACGAAAGAUACAGGAACGAAAAAAAUUUAACUGUAAGAGCUACUGGUUAUUGCUAAAAAUAGAAGUUCCCAUUUUAAGUAUGUGUAUAAUUUUGAUAUAUCUAACAGAGUAAGUAGGUUUAUUUAAUUUUUUUAUUUUAUUGGUAAAGGUGUUUUAUUAAUGUGUAGCAAGGGACUGCAGAAUAUUACAGAGAAAAGCUACAUUACAAAUUAUGCAAUGAGCUAAAAAUUUCAAUCAGUUGACCAUCGUGAUCCUCAUCUCAUUAGUGCUUUAGCAAUUCAUCAACAAUCCAAACAUCAAUAAAACAAGCUAUUACACUAACAAUAACAAUGUAAAUGGACAAAAUAAUCAGCCGAGAAGAUGCGAAGAACGGACCUUUGGUAUGAAUCAACCAAAAUGGUAAUUACAAGAGGUUAAAAAUAACUCGACGAUUCUUGACCAGAGCUUUCGCCAGCGAAUCUGGACGGAGCCGGAAACAAUUACAGCUGAAAAUCUACACAAAUUAGAGCGAAAUCAGUAAAAUCGAACCAGAAUUUCGACUUAAGCUGCAACAGCAAUCCCGGGGAGAAACUCCAAUCGGCUCAGUCGAACUCCAUUGGUUUUCGUUUCUUUUCAGAUUUUGACCCAAAGACCUCUCCAAAUUUUUUGUUCUUCUCUUCACUGUGUUUGUCCGUGUGUGCUUAUGUGUUAUUGGUGGUCGCUGGUUUCAGGAGGGUCUGUCUGACAAGUUCGCCGCUGGUGGGGAGAAGAGGGGUGAAGGGUCGUUUUGGGGGUGGAGUUUAGGUGCAACGGUCGCUGGCUGCUGUGGAGAAAUCAGAAAUGACUGGCCUAAGGUCCCUUGUUCAUGGCUGCUCUAAGUCCUCUCCAGAAGAAGACGAUGUGGGGGUGGGGGGUCUUGUGUAUUUACGGCGCUGAUGGUUAUCUCCCCCUAGCUCAUUUAGGUGUUACUCUAUAUGUAGAGUUCAGGUUUAGGUUAUUUGUUGUAUUUUCAUCUUAUUGCUCUUAGGUCCUUAGGGUAUUUUUAUUUAUUUUUUGUUCCAAAAAAGAGUCUAGAAGGGUCCCUAGGGUUAGCUUAAUGGGUGUUGGGUAUUGGGCUUAAUGGGCUAAUCCGAAUUGGG